RNAcentral lists this long non-coding RNA (365 nucleotides) under Ornithorhynchus anatinus (platypus). RNAcentral describes it as "lncRNA (ENSOANG00000051042.1)". The record is from RNAcentral. Lineage: Eukaryota; Metazoa; Chordata; Mammalia; Monotremata; Ornithorhynchidae.
AGCUGGACGCCCCCGGCCGGGGCUCCCGGGGGUCCGCAGGGAAGGGGCAACUGUCCAGCUCGGCCACUACGAUUCCAUCCACCGCACACCUAAGAAGCGCCUCUCCCUUCUCGGGUACGAGGCACAGGAGCCUUUUGAAGGUGGCCCUGGCUCCCAGCUCCUCCGGGACAAGGCUGAAGACCCCGUCAACCGAAGAACUCCAGGAGAGAAGUGGCCAUCCACCCAGACUCUCAGAGAUGGUUCCUCGGGAAAUGAAAUAAACGACGAGGGGAAGAAUUUCCUCAGCCAGUGGGACUCUGUGGGAAAACAAAAAGGUUCAUUUGUUUUUACCGGGAAGAAAUUCGACUGAAUCCGUGGAAACAAAA